Long non-coding RNA from Leptidea sinapis, 449 nucleotides. RefSeq lists it as uncharacterized. The transcript has 3 exons. The record is from RefSeq and is a predicted model, not a curated record. Lineage: Eukaryota; Metazoa; Arthropoda; Insecta; Lepidoptera; Pieridae.
GUUCGUUCUUUAACAUUUGUGUAACUAAAUCUUGUUUGAUAGAAACAUGUUGUGGUAUAUGACGCUAUGGUUUUCAUUAAUAAUUUCUGCGAACUGCCGCACACAUGCAGUGAGUGGCGUAGGCAGAAAAACAAACAAUCAGCAUAUUGUUUCUGUGCAGACCAUGGCCCCCGAAACAAAACAUUUAGAAAUACCACUUACAGAGCCCUUACCACCAAACUGCAGUCAUGUUGGUACGGAAAUAGAGGCAACAGACUGGGCUACAUCAUCUAUACUAAUUGUAAAAGCAUACACGUUGACAUAUGGAACUGUCGAGCGUUACUUUUCAAGUAAGGAUGGCUCAUGUGUUGUAAAAACUAAAGUGUUUUGCGCCUAACCGAUACGAACAAAUUAUAACGCUGUGAUUCAAAAAAUACUUGAAGAAAUGUGAAAUAAAAAAAUAUAUAUAA